Long non-coding RNA from Oncorhynchus gorbuscha (pink salmon), 2683 nucleotides. RefSeq lists it as uncharacterized. The record is from RefSeq and is a predicted model, not a curated record. Lineage: Eukaryota; Metazoa; Chordata; Actinopteri; Salmoniformes; Salmonidae. The transcript is spliced from 2 exons.
UGUCACAUUAGAGGAGGACGAGGAAGAGAAGACUGGAGAACUGAUUAACACCAGUAAAUACAGAGAGAGACGUGACUAUCGUGGAUCCUCUGGGGGUCCUCAACAACAUCAUGAUGCUGAUGAGGCAGAAAAGAGUCUCUCCAGAUCAGAACUCCUCAAGAAACACCAGCGAGUACACACAGGAGAGAAAUCUAUCUGCUGCUCUGACUGUGGGAAAAGAUUCAGCUCUUCAGUCGACCUUAAAAUACAUCAAAGAAUUCACACUGGAGAGAAACCUUAUGGCUGUGAUCAGUGUGGCAAGAGUUUUACUACAUCUACCCAUCUGACUUUGCAUCAGAGAACACACACAGGAGAGAAGUCAUAUAGCUGUAAUCAAUGUGGGAAGAGAUUUUAUAAAUCAAGCCAUCUAACUAUACACCAUAGAACACACACAGGAGAGAAACCCUUUGGCUGUGAUCAGUGUGGGAAGAGUUUUUAUACAUAUAGCAAGCUGACUUUACACCAGAGAACACACACGGGAGAGAAAUCCUAUAGCUGUAAUCAAUGUGGGAAGAGUUUUUCUACAUCUAGCUAUCUAACUAUACACCAUAGGACACACACAGGAGAGAAAUCCUAUGGCUGUGCUCAAUGUGGGAAGAGUUUUUAUACAUCUAGCAAGCUGACUUCACACCAAAGAACACACACAGGAGAGAAACCAUAUAGCUGUAGUCAAUGUGGGAAGAUUUUUUCCACAUCUAGCCAGCUGACUGUACACCAGAGAACACACACAGGGGAGAAAUCUCAAAGCUGUGAUCAAUGUGGGAAGAGAUACACUGAUAAAAGAUAUCUGAUUAAACAUCAGAAAAUACAUGGGGUUGUUUCAUGAUAUCAAUGAAUUAAUGUCACAAUGUAAAAUGUUUUUACAUUGUAGGAGUAUUUGAUUGAAUUUGAACCCUGGGGCGGCAGGGUAGCCUAGUGGUUAGAGCGUUGGACUAGUAACCGAAAGGUUGCAAGUUCGAACCCCCGAGCUGACAAGGUACAAGUCUGUCGUUCUGCCCCUGAACAGGCAGUUAACCCACUGUUCCUAGGCCGUCAUUGAAAAUAAGAAUUUGUUCUAACUGACUUGCCUAGUAAAAUAAAGGUACAUUUAAAAAAAAAAUGUUUACCUCUUGUUCAAUUGAUCUUAGCCUCAGUGGAAAGAUCCAGGCUCUGAAUUGAAAGAGUUACUAUUUAUGUGAUUUAUCAAACAUUUACUAACAAAAAAAAGAGUUGUGUUCCACUUACCAAGUGGUUACCCACUUCAAUCAAAAUAUAACACUUCAAAAUGUGUUUUCUACAAAUUGUCCUCUAACCAGGGAUGUACACAUUAUUCCCAGAUUCCAUGUGGUUUUUGAGCUGUUAGUUUUAACAGAACGUCAUCUCCCUGCUCUCGCACAAUUGAUUUCAACAUGAUAUUGAUGAGUGAUGACAAAUAAGUGUUGCGUUCCUUUGUUUGGCGACCCCUAAAUUUAAAUGCAUCACUGUUGCUCUGCUUUUAGAAUAUCAGGGUUCAUUCUUAGAUGUGCCAACACAAAUCUACUAGAGCAUGACAUUGGGGACUGGGCCCCGAUCCAACAACAUGCCUAUCUAGUGAACCCUGAAAAGAGAGAGAAGCUCUGCAGUGAGUUGGAAAGUUACUACAGAUAUUGCAGGAGUUUCCUCUUGAAAUCAGACAAGUCUGUGGUAAGGACAACUUGGUUGCUGGUUGUCUCAAGGGUGGACAGUCAACAAUAUGUGUUUUGCAUUUAGCCAGUGUGUUACCAUGGAUCACAAUUUAUUUUGACAUGUUUUUCCUUAUUGGAGAUGAGAUUUUAUCUCUUUUUUUCUGUAUUAAAAAAAACUGCACUGUUGGUUCGGGGCUCGUAAGUAAGCAUUUCGCUGUAAGGUCUACACAUGUAUUCAGCUAAUACGUGAAUAAUACGAUUUGAUUUGAGUUUUGGGACGAGAGUUCUAGAAGCUAGUGAGUUUUAGGAUUCUAUUGAAAGAAAAGGAGAAAAAAAAUGCGAUUGUAUAUUAUUAUUUAGAAGUAGGUGCUUUUUCUUGUUUUUAAUUGUUGACAGCCAGUAGACACCAUGUUUAUAUUGUAGAAGGUGAAGUGUUGUAGUUCAUUAUAAUGUGAAAUGGAAGUUGUUUUUUAGUCAGUUGUUCAGCUGAAAUGUGUCUUCGGCACAUUGGUGUCACCCCGUUAGUCAGUAUGUGUUACACCUGUGCUGGCUUGUCCAUCUCGUUCGUGGAAAGGUGUUUCACCUGAGCUGGUCCAGGUUCUAUUUAAGAGUGUCUGGCCUAGUGCUCCAGUUGUCUUGAUAGAUGUGGAGAGUCAAUACUUUUGGUUUUCUUCCUGUCUAAGUUAGGUUUGGGUUUUUCUUUUGUUUGCCUCUUCUUGGGCAGAUUUAGUGGGUCUCAUGGUGGGUGUCUUUUAGGUCCCAGUUGUUGUUACUAGUCAACUUUCAGUGGAAUCCCCCAUAGUGUCUUUCAGAGCCCCUCCUAAAAAAAACAAGCUUAUAUUUUGGGGUUGGAUAUUGCGUCCAAUUUAUAUUUUAAUCAAUGGCAUUUCCUAAGAAUGCUCAUUAGUCUUUCAGUUAUUAUUGUUUGUGGACUAAAUAUUUUUUAUUUUAAUUGUUUUUUCCUGUGAAUCCGUUGUUGUAUAAAUAAAGCUUGAUUUGAA